RNAcentral lists this ribosomal RNA (279 nucleotides) under uncultured bacterium. Its description in RNAcentral is "partial 16S ribosomal RNA". It matches the Rfam family "Bacterial small subunit ribosomal RNA", at positions 506 to 784 of the family's 1533-position model. The record is from RNAcentral.
UGCCAGCAGCCGCGGUAAUACGGAGGGGGCGAGCGUUAUUCGGAAUUACUGGGCGUAAAGGGUGCGUAGGCGGCCCAUCAAGUUAGACGUGAAAGCCCCGAGCUCAACUUGGGAACUGCCUUUGAUACUGUUUAUCUAGAGUCCGAGAGAGGUUAGUGGAAUUCCCAGUGUAGAGGUGAAAUUCGUAGAUAUUGGGAAGAACACCAGUGGCGAAGGCGGCUAACUGGCUCGGUACUGACGCUGAGAUGCGAAAGCGUGGGGAGCAAACAGGAUUAGAUA